AGUGAACGCUGGCGGUAGGCCUAACACAUGCAAGUCGAACGGCAGCACAGUAAGAGCUUGCUCUUACGGGUGGCGAGUGGCGGACGGGUGAGGAAUACAUCGGAAUCUACUUUUUCGUGGGGGAUAACGUAGGGAAACUUACGCUAAUACCGCAUACGACCUAUGGGUGAAAGCAGGGGAUCUUCGGACCUUGCGCGAUUGAAUGAGCCGAUGUCGGAUUAGCUAGUUGGCGGGGUAAAGGCCCACCAAGGCGACGAUCCGUAGCUGGUCUGAGAGGACGAUCAGCCACACUGGAACUGAGACACGGUCCAGACUCCUACGGGAGGCAGCAGUGGGGAAUAUUGGACAAUGGGCGCAAGCCUGAUCCAGCCAUACCGCGUGGGUGAAGAAGGCCUUCGGGUUGUAAAGCCCUUUUGUUGGGAAAGAAAAGCAGCAGGUUAAUACCCCGCUGUUCUGACGGUACCCAAAGAAUAAGCACCGGCUAACUUCGUG
This 492-nucleotide ribosomal RNA is filed under the name uncultured bacterium. Its description in RNAcentral is "partial 16S ribosomal RNA". It matches the Rfam family "Bacterial small subunit ribosomal RNA", at positions 29 to 507 of the family's 1533-position model. The record is from RNAcentral.